Molecule: ribosomal RNA, 1276 nt
Filed under: Salmonella enterica
Lineage: Bacteria; Pseudomonadati; Pseudomonadota; Gammaproteobacteria; Enterobacterales; Enterobacteriaceae
Description: partial 23S ribosomal RNA
Rfam family: Bacterial large subunit ribosomal RNA
Source: RNAcentral
UGUUUCGGCUAGGGGGCCAUCCCGGCUUACCAACCCGAUGCAAACUGCGAAUACCGGAGAAUGUUAUCACGGGAGACACACGGCGGGUGCUAACGUCCGUCGUGAAGAGGGAAACAACCCAGACCGCCAGCUAAGGUCCCAAAGUCAUGGUUAAGUGGGAAACGAUGUGGGAAGGCCCAGACAGCCAGGAUGUUGGCUUAGAAGCAGCCAUCAUUUAAAGAAAGCGUAAUAGCUCACUGGUCGAGUCGGCCUGCGCGGAAGAUGUAACGGGGCUAAACCAUGCACCGAAGCUGCGGCAGCGACACUCAGGUGUUGUUGGGUAGGGGAGCGUUCUGUAAGCCUGCGAAGGUGGCCUGUGAGGGUUGCUGGAGGUAUCAGAAGUGCGAAUGCUGACAUAAGUAACGAUAAAGCGGGUGAAAAGCCCGCUCGCCGGAAGACCAAGGGUUCCUGUCCAACGUUAAUCGGGGCAGGGUGAGUCGACCCCUAAGGCGAGGCCGAAAGGCGUAGUCGAUGGGAAACGGGUUAAUAUUCCCGUACUUGGUGUUACUGCGAAGGGGGGACGGAGAAGGCUAUGUUGGCCGGGCGACGGUUGUCCCGGUUUAAGCGUGUAGGUGUGUGUUCCAGGUAAAUCCGGUUCACUUUAACACUGAGGCGUGAUGACGAGGCACUACGGUGCUGAAGCAACAAAUGCCCUGCUUCCAGGAAAAGCCUCUAAGCAUCAGGUAACAUCAAAUCGUACCCCAAACCGACACAGGUGGUCAGGUAGAGAAUACCAAGGCGCUUGAGAGAACUCGGGUGAAGGAACUAGGCAAAAUGGUGCCGUAACUUCGGGAGAAGGCACGCUGACACGUAGGUGAAGUGAUUUACUCAUGGAGCUGAAGUCAGUCGAAGAUACCAGCUGGCUGCAACUGUUUAUUAAAAACACAGCACUGUGCAAACACGAAAGUGGACGUAUACGGUGUGACGCCUGCCCGGUGCCGGAAGGUUAAUUGAUGGGGUCAGCGCAAGCGAAGCUCCUGAUCGAAGCCCCGGUAAACGGCGGCCGUAACUAUAACGGUCCUAAGGUAGCGAAAUUCCUUGUCGGGUAAGUUCCGACCUGCACGAAUGGCGUAAUGAUGGCCAGGCUGUCUCCACCCGAGACUCAGUGAAAUUGAACUCGCUGUGAAGAUGCAGUGUACCCGCGGCAAGACGGAAAGACCCCGUGAACCUUUACUAUAGCUUGACACUGAACAUUGAGCCUUGAUGUGUAGGAUAGGUGGGAGGCUUUGAAGUGUGG